RNAcentral lists this ribosomal RNA (492 nucleotides) under uncultured bacterium. RNAcentral's name for it is "partial 16S ribosomal RNA". It matches the Rfam family "Bacterial small subunit ribosomal RNA", at positions 29 to 507 of the family's 1533-position model. The record is from RNAcentral.
AGUGAACGCUGGCGGUAGGCCUAACACAUGCAGGUCGAACGGCAGCACAGUAAGAGCUUGCUCUUACGGGUGGCGAGUGGCGGACGGGUGAGGAAUACAUCGGAACCUACUUUUUCGUGGGGGAUAACGUAGGGAAACUUACGCUAAUACCGCAUACGACCUACGGGUGAAAGCAGGGGAUCUUCGGACCUUGCGCGAUUGAAUGAGCCGAUGUCGGAUUAGCUAGUUGGCGGGGUAAAGGCCCACCAAGGCGACGAUCCGUAGCUGGUCUGAGAGGAUGAUCAGCCACACUGGAACUGAGUCACGGUCCAGACUCCUACGGGAGGCAGCAGUGGGGAAUAUUGGACAAUGGGCGCAAGCCUGAUCCAGCCAUACCGCGUGGGUGAAGAAGGCCUUCGGGUUGUAAAGCCCUUUUGUUGGGAAAGAAAAGCAGCAGGUUAAUACCCCGCUGUUCUGACGGUACCCAAAGAAUAAGCACCGGCUAACUUCGUG